GAMGAGCUKGCUCUGAUKUGAUUUUAUCUGACAAAGAGUGGCGAACGGGUGAGUAACACGKGGGGUGGCCUKGCUCUUUGCAGGGGAUAACAUUUGGAAACAAGUGCUAAUACCGUAUARUACCAACRACCGCAUGGUUGUUGGUUGAAAGAUGGUUCUGCUAUCACUAAGAGAUGGACCCGCGGUGCAUUAGCUAGUUGGUAAGGUAACGGCUUACCAAGGCAAUGAUGCAUAGCCGAGUUGAGAGACUGAUCGGCCACAAUGGGACUGAG
This 272-nucleotide ribosomal RNA is filed under the name Weissella paramesenteroides. RNAcentral describes it as "partial 16S ribosomal RNA". The record is from RNAcentral. Lineage: Bacteria; Bacillati; Bacillota; Bacilli; Lactobacillales; Lactobacillaceae.